UUUUUUUCGCAAAUGAACCCAUGAAAAAAAUUAUUUUUAAAAAUAGCCCCAGUAAAUUUAUAUUUGCAAAAAUAGCCCUGACCCUACCACGCAUGCGCCAUAUCAGCGUCAUGCAGACUGGGCUUGGGCCAAUCAGAUAAGUUAAACACGGUGAACCAUUCACCGUGUCCAAACUGUUUAUACCCACGGCAGUGCAAGUCCAAGCCAGAGGGAGAGGGAGAGGGCCCGGGGGGUAAUACACGAGACACGGGGAACUAUUCACCGUGUUCAAUAGCAACACCAGCACUUGGAAAUUUUUUUAGCGCAAUAAACGACAGAAUACAACAUCACAACGCAAUAACAAAUUCAACACGACAAUACAAGAAAUUCAAUAUCAACAAUACAACAACAAAUCCAACAGAAUAUCAAUAAAGCAUCAAUACAAGAUCAUCACAACAGAAUAUCAAAAAUUAAAUCAAGUUUCUCAAUAAUAUAGAAAGUUCGGUGUAAUUUAAAAUUUAUAAAAAUAUAAUGUCAAGUUCUCCUCCUAGUCCCUCGAUCACGUCUACCUAUACGUCCCCUACUACGUUCGCGACCACAAUCAACACCAUACUCAUCAAAAGGCUCUAAGACCUCCAACUAGUCGAGAUGCUCGAUAGCAGCACCCUCAAUAACCGGCUGAGUGUCCUGCGUCUCGAUCACCUGUCUGAUCUCGUACUCAAUCAUAGCAGGUGUCGAUAGUAUGUCUGGCCGUGGAGGAGCUGAAGAGGAGGGCUGAUCUGUAUGGAGAGACUGCAACUG
Molecule: long non-coding RNA, 780 nt
Filed under: Ananas comosus (pineapple)
Lineage: Eukaryota; Viridiplantae; Streptophyta; Magnoliopsida; Poales; Bromeliaceae
Description: long non-coding RNA (ACOM_LNC031241)
Source: RNAcentral